UCGACGAGAACACCGAAAAAACCUAAUUCAGCUCUACGUAAGAUAGCAAAAGUACGGUUGAGCAAUCGACAUGAUAUAUUUGCUCACAUUCCAGGCGAAGGUCAUAAUUCGCAGGAACAUGCUAUAGUCUUAGUCAGAGGAGGUAGAGUGAAAGAUUCGCCAGGUGUGAAAUCCCAUCUCGAUAAGCCAAUCCCAUAUCGAGAUGAUAUAUUUGCUCACGUUCCAGGCGAAGGUCAUAAUUCGCAGGAACAUGCUAUAUUUUGUGGGUUGAAGGGAUUGGGAUUGGCUUAUCGAGAUGUGCGUGUAUCUCAUAUCGUUCUAGUGACUCCGCUUUCCUAA
RNAcentral lists this ribosomal RNA (339 nucleotides) under Triticum aestivum (bread wheat). Its description in RNAcentral is "partial small subunit ribosomal RNA". The record is from RNAcentral. Lineage: Eukaryota; Viridiplantae; Streptophyta; Magnoliopsida; Poales; Poaceae.